Molecule: ribosomal RNA, 497 nt
Filed under: uncultured bacterium
Lineage: Bacteria
Description: partial 16S ribosomal RNA
Rfam family: Bacterial small subunit ribosomal RNA
Source: RNAcentral
GAUGAACGCUGGCGGCGUGCCUAAUACAUGCAAGUCGAGCGAACAGACGAGGAGCUUGCUCCUCUGACGUUAGCGGCGGACGGGUGAGUAACACGUGGAUAACCUACCUAUAAGACUGGGAUAACUUCGGGAAACCGGAGCUAAUACCGGAUAAUAUAUUGAACCGCAUGGUUCAAUAGUUAAAGACGGUUUUGCUGUCACUUAUAGAUGGAUCCGCACCGCAUUAGCUAGUUGGUAAGGUAACGGCUUACCAAGGCAACGAUGCGUAGCCGACCUGAGAGGGUGAUCGGCCACACGGGAACUGAGACACGGUCCAGAGUCCUACGGGAGGCAGCAGUAGGGAAUCUUCCGCAAUGGGCGAAAGCCUGACGGAGCAACGCCGCGUGAGUGAUGAAGGUCUUCGGAUCGUAAAACUCUGUUAUUAGGGAAGAACAAAUGUGUAAGUAACUAUGCACGUCUUGACGGUACCUAAUCAGAAAGCCACGGCUAACUACGUG